CAGGAUAAAUAUGAAUUGUAAUCUCAAUAUAUGAGAAAAAUUUAAAAACAUCGAACAAAGAAAUUGUAAAGAGGAGAAAGAACUCUAAGACUGUAAAUGAAAAUAAACAUCGACCGAGUUACACUGUCCUGUAUCGUGGGCGAAGGAUUGUGCAUUUAUAGGCGUCAAGAGACCAGCGCAGUAGACACCUACCUCCAAAAAGAAAUAACAAACAAUAGUCGGGAAUCUACUGAAGCCCGAGAAUUUUGGCUGAAAUGUCACGUUUUGGUCCCGAGCUCGGGGAUGUUAAAAGGGGGAUUGGCCUCCCGCAUCGGGGAGAAUGGGCGAGGACAGAGAGAGAGAGAGAACGGAUAGUUCCUUUCAUAAGACCCAAUACAACCGCAAUUCGGGUCUCGCAUACUCCAGAAACUCCCUGAUUUUCAACAAGUUGAAGGGAUAUUCUUUUGGGAGAUACGGACCAAGCGUCGUUUGUAUCAUGCCUGCGAAAGAAAGGAAAAAGGGACCUUAAUAGAUUUCCUUAUCGAUGGUUUUACAACUACCAUCCCGUUCCUCCAACUGCACUGCAACAACAUGGUGUCAGACCCCACCUAAAUGAAGGACGAUUUCCAUUUUGAAUCAUCAAUUCCCGAUGGGAGUAGUACACCGUUCUUCGGAGAAUAUUAUCCAAUAAAUUACGGACUGGUCGUUGAAUAUAAAUAGGUCCCCGAGUGGACGAAGAUCAGACUGAGAACAUUGAACUGUUGACAAUCAUUGUUGUGCAUCAGAAUUUAUAAACUCGGGAUCCACCGGGUAUCUUCUGUCUAUUUAAGAUAUUUAUUUGCAGGCCGGAUUAGCCGCGUGGAGGCGCUUCGACUUUCCACUCUGGGGGACCUGGGUUCGAGUCUCGGGUCUCACCCUUUGAAAAUGUUUAUCAUGAAGUCCGGGGUCGGCCCGUCGAUCCCCGGCCUC
RNAcentral lists this long non-coding RNA (948 nucleotides) under Androctonus crassicauda. Lineage: Eukaryota; Metazoa; Arthropoda; Arachnida; Scorpiones; Buthidae. The record is from RNAcentral.